This 208-nucleotide ribosomal RNA is filed under the name uncultured bacterium. RNAcentral's name for it is "partial 16S ribosomal RNA". It matches the Rfam family "Bacterial small subunit ribosomal RNA", at positions 125 to 334 of the family's 1533-position model. The record is from RNAcentral.
ACAACCUCUUAACAGGGGGAUAACACUGAGAAAUUGGUACUAAUACCCCAUAAUAUCAUAGAAGGCAUCUUUUAUGGUUGAAAAUUCCGAUGGUUAGAGAUGGGCAUGCGUUGUAUUAGCUAGUUGGUGGGGUAACGGCUCACCAAGGCGACGAUACAUAGGGGGACUGAGAGGUUAACCCCCACACUGGUACUGAGACACGGACCAG